This 349-nucleotide unclassified non-coding RNA is filed under the name fungal sp. RNAcentral's name for it is "partial internal transcribed spacer region". The stretch from base 1 to 46 matches the Rfam family "Eukaryotic small subunit ribosomal RNA", at positions 1786 to 1831 of the family's 1831-position model. The record is from RNAcentral. Lineage: Eukaryota; Fungi.
AAGUCGUAACAAGGUUUCCGUAGGUGAACCUGCGGAAGGAUCAUUAACACGUAUCCAAACGUUAAAACCCCCCGUGAACCUUCAUCCUGCUCUUGUAACCCGCGUAGUACGCAAUCUAUGAUAGAUCAUAGCCCGGAAAGUUGUAGUGAUUCAGAGACCUCUGGCUACGUGCGAACAUUGGAACAGUUACAAUCGAGCGGUAGUUCUAUAGGCAAUGUUUCUCCAUGCAGUCAGUGUCGGAAAGUGUCAUUGAUUGUGCAAGGAUAGCGCUUCUACGAUUCCUGUAGACCGUACACUGGGGCAGGAGCUUUGCCAAAGGGUCCCCAUGCCCCCUAAUAACCCCUUUCUC